Molecule: ribosomal RNA, 253 nt
Filed under: uncultured bacterium
Lineage: Bacteria
Description: partial 16S ribosomal RNA
Rfam family: Bacterial small subunit ribosomal RNA
Source: RNAcentral
UACGGGGGGGGCAAGCGUUGUUCGGAAUUACUGGGCGUAAAGCGUGCGCAGGCGGGCUUUUAAGCCAGACGUGAAAUCCCCGGGCUUAACCUGGGAAUGGCGUUUGGGACUGGAAGUCUGGAGUGCGGCAGAGGAGACUGGAAUUCCUGGUGUAGCAGUGAAAUGCGUAGAUAUCAGGAGGAACACCUGCGGUGUAGACGGCUUACUGGACCAUCACUGACGCUGAGGCACGAAAGCGUGGGUAGCAAACAGG